GACGAACGCUGGCGGCGUGCUUAACACAUGCAAGUCGAACGAGUGGCGAACGGGUGAGUAACACGUGAGCAACCUGCCCUGACUCUGGGAUAACCCCGGGAAACCGGAGCUCAUACCGGAUAGUAAGGAUGGGCUCUCGGCCUAUCAGCUUGUUGGUGGGGUAACGGCCACCAAGGCGACGACGGGUAGCCGGCCUGAGAGGGCGAGCGGCCACACGGGGACUGAGACACGGCGCAGACUACUACGGGAGGCAGCAGUGGGGAAUAUGACACAAUGGGCGAUAGCAUGAUGCAGCGACGCCGCGGGAGGGACGAAGGCCUUCGGGUUGUAAACCUCUUUCAGCAGGGAAGCGGUACCUGCAGAAGAAGCACCGGCUAACUACGUGCCAGCAGCCGCGGUAAUUC
RNAcentral lists this ribosomal RNA (404 nucleotides) under uncultured bacterium. RNAcentral describes it as "partial 16S ribosomal RNA". It matches the Rfam family "Bacterial small subunit ribosomal RNA", at positions 28 to 526 of the family's 1533-position model. The record is from RNAcentral.